This 304-nucleotide ribosomal RNA is filed under the name uncultured bacterium. RNAcentral describes it as "partial 16S ribosomal RNA". It matches the Rfam family "Bacterial small subunit ribosomal RNA", at positions 509 to 807 of the family's 1533-position model. The record is from RNAcentral.
CAGCAGUCGCCGCGGUAAUACGGAGGGUGCAAGCGUUAUCCGGAUUCACUGGGUUUAAAGGGUGCGUAGGCGGGCAGGUAAGUCAGUGGUGAAAUCUUCGAGCUUAACUCGGAAACUGCCGUUGAUACUAUCUGUCUUGAAUAACGUUGAGGUGAGCGGAAUAUGUCAUGUAGCGGUGAAAUGCUUAGAUAUGACAUAGAACACCGAUUGCGAAGGCAGCUCACUAAACGCUCAUUGACGCUGAGGCACGAAAGCGUGGGGAUCAAACAGGAUUAGAUACCCGUGUAGUCCCUGUCUCUUAUAC